GCAGGCUUGAGUCUUGUAGAGGGGGGUAGAAUUCCAGGUGUAGCGGUGAAAUGCGUAGAGAUCUGGAGGAAUACCGGUGGCGAAGGCGGCCCCCUGGACAAAGACUGACGCUCAGGUGCGAAAGCGUGGGGAGCAAACAGGAUUAGAUACCCUGGUAGUCCACGCCGUAAACGAUGUCUACUUGGAGGUUGUGCCCUUGAGGCGUGGCUUCCGGAGCUAACGCGUUAAGUAGACCGCCUGGGGAGUACGGCCGCAAGGUUAAAACUCAAAUGAAUUGACGGGGGCCCGCACAAGCGGUGGAGCAUGUGGUUUAAUUCGAUGCAACGCGAAGAACC
This 335-nucleotide ribosomal RNA is filed under the name Salmonella enterica subsp. enterica serovar Muenchen. RNAcentral describes it as "bacterial SSU rRNA". It matches the Rfam family "Bacterial small subunit ribosomal RNA", at positions 636 to 970 of the family's 1533-position model. The record is from RNAcentral. RNAcentral also lists the same sequence under 18 other names. Lineage: Bacteria; Pseudomonadati; Pseudomonadota; Gammaproteobacteria; Enterobacterales; Enterobacteriaceae.